RNAcentral lists this ribosomal RNA (440 nucleotides) under uncultured bacterium. RNAcentral's name for it is "partial 16S ribosomal RNA". It matches the Rfam family "Bacterial small subunit ribosomal RNA", at positions 338 to 795 of the family's 1533-position model. The record is from RNAcentral.
CCUACGGGAGGCUGCAGUGGGGAAUAUUGCACAAUGGGGGAAACCCUGAUGCAGCGACGCCGCGUGAGUGAAGAAGUAUUUCGGUAUGUAAAGCUCUAUCAGCAGGGAAGAAAAUGACGGUACCUGAUUAAGAAGCCCCGGCUAACUACGUGACAGCAGCCGCGGUAUUACGUAGGGGGCACGCGUUAUCCGGAUUUACUGGGUGUAAAGGGCGCGUAGACGGCAGCACAGGUAUGGAGUGAAAUGCCGGGGCUUAACCCCGGAACUGCUUUGGAAACUGUGUGGCUAGAGUGCAGGAGAGGUAAGUGGAAGUCCUAGUGUAGGGGUGAAAUGCGUAGAUAUAAGGAGGAACACCAGUGGCGAAGGCGACUUACUGGACUGUAACUGACGUUGAGGCUCGAAAGCGUGGGGAGCAAACAGGAUUAGAUACCCUUGUAGUC